This 468-nucleotide ribosomal RNA is filed under the name uncultured bacterium. RNAcentral describes it as "partial 16S ribosomal RNA". It matches the Rfam family "Bacterial small subunit ribosomal RNA", at positions 28 to 507 of the family's 1533-position model. The record is from RNAcentral.
GACGAACGCUGGCGGCGUGCUUAACACAUGCAAGUCGAACGGAAAGGCCCUGCUUUUGUGGGAUGCUCGAGUGGCGAACGGGUGAGUAACACGUGAGUAACCUGCCCUUGACUUUGGGAUAACUUCAGGAAACUGGGGCUAAUACCGGAUAGGAGCUCCUGCUGCAUGGUGGGGUUUGGAAAGUUUCGGCGGUUGGGGAUGGACUCGCGGCUUAUCAGCUUGUUGGUGGGGUAGUGGCUUACCAAGGCUUUGACGGGUAGCCGGCCUGAGAGGGUGACCGGCCACAUUGGGACUGAGAUACGGCCCAGACUCCUACGGGAGGCAGAAGUGGGGAAUAUUGCACAAUGGGCGGAAGCCUGAUGCAGCAACGCCGCGUGCGGGAUGACGGCCUUCGGGUUGUAACCCGCUUUCGCCUGUGACGAAGCGUGAGUGACGGUAAUGGGUAAAGAAGCACCGGCUAACUACGUG